RNAcentral lists this ribosomal RNA (497 nucleotides) under uncultured bacterium. RNAcentral describes it as "partial 16S ribosomal RNA". It matches the Rfam family "Bacterial small subunit ribosomal RNA", at positions 28 to 507 of the family's 1533-position model. The record is from RNAcentral.
GACGAACGCUGGCGGCGUGCCUAAUACAUGCAAGUUGAGCGCUGAAGGUUGGUACUUGUACCAACUGGAUGAGCAGCGAACGGGUGAGUAACGCGUGGGGAAUCUGCCUUUGAGCGGGGGACAACAUUUGGAAACGAAUGCUAAUACCGCAUAAAAACUUUAAACACAAGUUUUAAGUUUGAAAGAUGCAAUUGCAUCACUCAAAGAUGAUCCCGCGUUGUAUUAGCUAGUUGGUGAGGUUAAGGCUCACCAAGGCGAUGAUACAUAGCCGACCUGAGAGGGUGAUCGGCCACAUUGGGACUGAGACACGGCCCAAACUGCUACGGGAGGCAGCAGUAGGGAAUCUUCGGCAAUGGACGAAAGUCUGACCGAGCAACGCCGCGGGAGUGAAGAAGGUUGUCGGAUCGUAAAACUCGGUUGGUAGAGAAGAACGUUGGUGAGAGUGGAAAGCUCAUCAAGUGACGGUAACUACCCAGAAAGGGACGGCUAACUACGUG